RNAcentral lists this ribosomal RNA (2923 nucleotides) under Klebsiella pneumoniae. RNAcentral's name for it is "bacterial LSU rRNA". It matches the Rfam family "Bacterial large subunit ribosomal RNA". Lineage: Bacteria; Pseudomonadati; Pseudomonadota; Gammaproteobacteria; Enterobacterales; Enterobacteriaceae. The record is from RNAcentral.
GGGUUGUGAGGUUAAGCGACUAAGCGUACACGGUGGAUGCCCUGGCAGUCAGAGGCGAUGAAGGACGUGCUAAUCUGCGAAAAGCGUCGGUAAGGUGAUAUGAACCGUUAUAACCGGCGAUGUCCGAAUGGGGAAACCCAGUGUGAUUCGUCACACUAUCGUUAACUGAAUACAUAGGUUAACGAGGCGAACCGGGGGAACUGAAACAUCUAAGUACCCCGAGGAAAAGAAAUCAACCGAGAUUCCCCCAGUAGCGGCGAGCGAACGGGGAGCAGCCCAGAGUCUGAAUCAGCUUGUGUGUUAGUGGAACGGUCUGGAAAGUCCGACGGUACAGGGUGAUAGUCCCGUACACCAAAAUGCACAGGUUGUGAACUCGAAGAGUAGGGCGGGACACGUGGUAUCCUGUCUGAAUAUGGGGGGACCAUCCUCCAAGGCUAAAUACUCCUGACUGACCGAUAGUGAACCAGUACCGUGAGGGAAAGGCGAAAAGAACCCCGGCGAGGGGAGUGAAAAAGAACCUGAAACCGUGUACGUACAAGCAGUGGGAGCACCUUCGGGUGUGACUGCGUACCUUUUGUAUAAUGGGUCAGCGACUUAUAUUCUGUAGCAAGGUUAACCGUAUAGGGGAGCCGCAGGGAAACCGAGUCUUAACUGGGCGUUAAGUUGCAGGGUAUAGACCCGAAACCCGGUGAUCUAGCCAUGGGCAGGUUGAAGGUUGGGUAACACUAACUGGAGGACCGAACCGACUAAUGUUGAAAAAUUAGCGGAUGACUUGUGGCUGGGGGUGAAAGGCCAAUCAAACCGGGAGAUAGCUGGUUCUCCCCGAAAGCUAUUUAGGUAGCGCCUCGUGAACUCAUCUUCGGGGGUAGAGCACUGUUUCGGCUAGGGGGUCAUCCCGACUUACCAACCCGAUGCAAACUACGAAUACCGAAGAAUGUUAUCACGGGAGACACACGGCGGGUGCUAACGUCCGUCGUGAAGAGGGAAACAACCCAGACCGCCAGCUAAGGUCCCAAAGUCAUGGUUAAGUGGGAAACGAUGUGGGAAGGCACAGACAGCCAGGAUGUUGGCUUAGAAGCAGCCAUCAUUUAAAGAAAGCGUAAUAGCUCACUGGUCGAGUCGGCCUGCGCGGAAGAUGUAACGGGGCUAAACCAUGCACCGAAGCUGCGGCAGCGACACUAUGUGUUGUUGGGUAGGGGAGCGUUCUGUAAGCCUGCGAAGGUGUGCUGUGAGGCAUGCUGGAGGUAUCAGAAGUGCGAAUGCUGACAUAAGUAACGAUAAAGCGGGUGAAAAGCCCGCUCGCCGGAAGACCAAGGGUUCCUGUCCAACGUUAAUCGGGGCAGGGUGAGUCGACCCCUAAGGCGAGGCCGAAAGGCGUAGUCGAUGGGAAACAGGUUAAUAUUCCUGUACUUGGUGUUACUGCGAAGGGGGGACGGAGAAGGCUAUGUUAGCCGGGCGACGGUUGUCCCGGUUUAAGCAUGUAGGCUGAUUGUCCAGGCAAAUCCGGAUAAUCAAGGCUGAGGUGUGAUGACGAGGCACUACGGUGCUGAAGUAACAAAUGCCCUGCUUCCAGGAAAAGCCUCUAAGCAUCAGGUAACAUCAAAUCGUACCCCAAACCGACACAGGUGGUCAGGUAGAGAAUACCAAGGCGCUUGAGAGAACUCGGGUGAAGGAACUAGGCAAAAUGGUGCCGUAACUUCGGGAGAAGGCACGCUGGUGUGUAGGUGAAGUCCCUGCGGAUGGAGCUGAGACCAGUCGAAGAUACCAGCUGGCUGCAACUGUUUAUUAAAAACACAGCACUGUGCAAACACGAAAGUGGACGUAUACGGUGUGACGCCUGCCCGGUGCCGGAAGGUUAAUUGAUGGGGUUAUCCGUAAGGAGAAGCUCUUGAUCGAAGCCCCGGUAAACGGCGGCCGUAACUAUAACGGUCCUAAGGUAGCGAAAUUCCUUGUCGGGUAAGUUCCGACCUGCACGAAUGGCGUAAUGAUGGCCAGGCUGUCUCCACCCGAGACUCAGUGAAAUUGAACUCGCUGUGAAGAUGCAGUGUACCCGCGGCAAGACGGAAAGACCCCGUGAACCUUUACUAUAGCUUGACACUGAACAUUGAGCCUUGAUGUGUAGGAUAGGUGGGAGGCUUUGAAGCGUGGACGCCAGUCUGCGUGGAGCCAACCUUGAAAUACCACCCUUUAAUGUUUGAUGUUCUAACGUUGGCCCCUGACCGGGGUUGCGGACAGUGUCUGGUGGGUAGUUUGACUGGGGCGGUCUCCUCCCAAAGCGUAACGGAGGAGCACGAAGGUUAGCUAAUCCUGGUCGGACAUCAGGAGGUUAGUGCAAUGGCAUAAGCUAGCUUGACUGCGAGCGUGACGGCGCGAGCAGGUGCGAAAGCAGGUCAUAGUGAUCCGGUGGUUCUGAAUGGAAGGGCCAUCGCUCAACGGAUAAAAGGUACUCCGGGGAUAACAGGCUGAUACCGCCCAAGAGUUCAUAUCGACGGCGGUGUUUGGCACCUCGAUGUCGGCUCAUCACAUCCUGGGGCUGAAGUAGGUCCCAAGGGUAUGGCUGUUCGCCAUUUAAAGUGGUACGCGAGCUGGGUUUAGAACGUCGUGAGACAGUUCGGUCCCUAUCUGCCGUGGGCGCUGGAGAAUUGAGGGGGGCUGCUCCUAGUACGAGAGGACCGGAGUGGACGCAUCACUGGUGUUCGGGUUGUCAUGCCAAUGGCACUGCCCGGUAGCUAAAUGCGGAAGAGAUAAGUGCUGAAAGCAUCUAAGCACGAAACUUGCCCCGAGAUGAGUUCUCCCUGAGACUUUAAGUCUCCUGAAGGAACGUUAAAGACGAUGACGUUGAUAGGCCGGGUGUGUAAGCGCAGCGAUGCGUUGAGCUAACCGGUACUAAUGAACCGUGAGGCUUAACCUUACAACGCCGAAG